RNA transcript from Ostrinia furnacalis (Asian corn borer), 2831 nucleotides. RefSeq lists it as uncharacterized. The record is from RefSeq and is a predicted model, not a curated record. The transcript is spliced from 11 exons. NCBI's taxonomy places the organism in Eukaryota, Metazoa, Arthropoda, Insecta, Lepidoptera, Crambidae.
UCGUAACUCGGUCUGCGGGCGCAGUGUCGCUCCGUCCCGCGCGCAGACCGGUCCGCAAUGCCGCUCUGACACCUCGCGCCAGCUGUCAAACUCGCCGUCAACAACUGUCAAACUUGAACGAACUGUCAAAGUGCUAAAACAUGUGGCUCGUGUGGAGUUGUCUUUUCGCCAGCGCGCUGCUGGUUCCAGCGCGGGCACAGGAUGCAGACGAAAACAGCGAAUUCUCGCCGGUCGUGAACGCGACGUGCAAGACCGGCAUCAUGUCUAUCAGGAUUACAUUCAACCAGCCUUUCAAUGGUGUCGUCCAUUCCAAAGAAUUUAGAUCACCGGCAUGUAAAAUGCAAGGCAACGGAACGAAUACUGUAACGCUUGAUAUCAACAUGAUGGCUCCGAAAGGCUCACCGGACUACUGCGGAGUUUUAUGGAAUAAUCGAACUGAAGAAAGAUCAUUGCCUCUAGCUGUGCGUGUGCAUAGGACAUUAGAGUUAGCUGAUGAUAAAAUGUUCUUCAUCACUUGUGGAAAAGCUGGUUUCAGGAAUUCAAGAAACGAGACUUCCCUUGUAUCGCUUCGUAUGCUCAAUCAAGAUGGGCGCAAAGUGACGAACGUAGCCUUUACCUUACCGUACACACUUCGAGCUGAAUUGAGUAAAUCUGACGGAACGCACGGGAUCAGAAUGAAGAAUUGCUUCGCAUUCAACAUGCGUAAUAAUACAGUGGAUCUCCUAGACAGCAGGGGAUGUCCACUGAAGCAGGAAUCGGUGGUGGUGAAGUCCCAAAACGGCGCGACGGAGCUGGCGAUAGCGUCCAUGUUCCGUUUCCCGGACUCCUCGCAAGUCAACUUUCAGUGCGAUAUUGCUAUUUGCAAAGGUAGCUGCGCACCAGUAGACUGCUCGGCUGAUGCGCGUGGCGAGCCGAACGACGAGGAGGCCCUCGUCACUUCUUCCACGGGAAUAUUCGUUUUCGAUCCGAAUGAUAAUGCAGUUCUGAAGUGCGCGGAGACGGGCAUCAGGCCGCUGUGGCUGCUGUACCUGGCCAUCGCGCUGGGCGUUAUGUUCCUGGUCAUGCUGCUCAUCAACUGCUUCCUCUGCACCGCCAUGACCUGCUCCUGCGCCCGGACUGACGUUAUCGAGAAAGACCCAUCAGUUGUGGAAGACUACGACCCUUACCGUAGCUGGCACGGCAGUCAGUACGGAAGCAGGUACCCAUCUUCAACCAUUCAUUCAGCGAGGUAAGGAGGGUCACUCAGUCUGCCCUGAUGUAGAUGCUUGGUAUCAUAAUGCAUGCAGAGAUCGGUUUCCGACAAUAGUGACCAUUACGCGAUAGUGCAGUCUCGGCCAGGCAGCCGCCACUCGGGCAUGCACCGCGCCAGGCACUAAGCUAAACGAACUACCACAACUAAUUGAACUAGAAAAAAAGAAANAAAAGAAGAAGGAUAAAUACAAAACCAAUAAUCUGGGGUUUCGCCACCUUUUUGGAUGGGAAACUACUCGAUCUUAUUUCUAAUUCCCUGCAACAUUCAGCAAAUAUUUUAAAAACAAAAGAUGUCGCUCUGAUAUUGCUCCAUGUGUGCAGAAAUUACAAUAAUAAGUAGGUAAUAGUGUUUUGAUAGCAAUAACUUUACAAUAUACACUAUAUUCCUUAAUGUUACCUGUAAAAUAUCUCGUUACAAUUUUGAAAUGAAUUUAACUUGUGCCAUCCAUGUGUGUACCUUGUGAGACCGUAGAGUCUUAUGCCUUUGAAUGUUUGAAAGAAAUUCAAACUUAAACUGAACGAUGCAACGAAUCCGUCCCUUUUAAUAGUAAAUGUAAGUACUUAUAAAUAAAAUGUGAUAGUCGGCUUGACAAUUUUAUUAUCAUCCUCUUAUAUUAAUUUGAAAACGUUGACCUCGGAAAGGGGGUAGAUUAUCUUUUUUAUCGUAGAAAAAAGCCGGCUAACCACCUAAAUAGCAUAGUAAAAUUUCAAAUAAUAAAUUGAUAAGAGUAACAUAGAAAUGCAGUCGAUUAUGACUUAAUUUAUGUUUGUAAUAAUAAAAUAAUAAAAACUGAUUAAUACAAUCGUGUUGCUGAAUACGUAUUUCCGUAGAGAUGUUUACUGGCAUCGUUAAUUUAGUUAAUUUGUUUUUUCUUCCUUUUAUUAACGGCCAGUUUACAUUUUAUCAACUGUAGAGUGAGAAGAAAACAUUUUUUGUCGAAUUUCAAACUACGAGUAUAGUAUAGAGAAAAAAACAUAAAUACGUUGAUAUAGAAAUUCAACUAAAAUAAUAUGUUUUUAGUUAGUAAUCCCUAUCUUUCUUUUUCAAAGUAUAGGUUCCGUACGUUUAUAAUUUAAAUUAAGAGUAUCACUUUGAUCACCAACGCGAAAAUUCGCCUACUUAAAUAAAAAGAUUUAACUAACAAUAUUGAAUAAAUAAAAGGUUCUGUUUUGAAUUGUCUCAACCACCCUUAACAUUCAGCCGAAUUAUUGCUUGGUGAUCGAAAAUGUUAAAACUCUACAAUUAAGUAUCCUAAUUACUACUUAGUAGUUACUAUUAUAAAAUGUACCACAUCAUCUUAACUGUGAAUAAUAUGUAAUUAUAAUGUUACUUUGGAGUGACGUUUAGUUAAGAACGUGUGUUGAUUUGUAAAAAUAAUUAAUAAGUGAGUGAGUGUUUAGUAAUGUAUUAUAAUAGUAGUAGUUAUUGACCGUUAACUGGUUUCUAUAAAAGUAUUUUGAUUAUUUUGAAAAUGUAUGCAAAAGAAUCUCUUGUUGACCAAACCGUAUUAAGUCUUAGACAUGAAACGAAACUGAAUUGAACAAUUUAUUAGUAAGAUCAAGCCUCUUACAUGCAAGUU